Molecule: unclassified non-coding RNA, 355 nt
Filed under: Hevea brasiliensis (rubber tree)
Lineage: Eukaryota; Viridiplantae; Streptophyta; Magnoliopsida; Malpighiales; Euphorbiaceae
Source: RNAcentral
AUUCAGAAAACUCGCAAAUGGUACUUAGUGUAUAUCCUCCUUACCUUUCACAAGGGCAUUGUAAGCAACCUUUGCAGCAUUCAUCUCUGCUUGUUUCUUGGUUUUAGCUUCUUGUCCUUGAAAAGUCCGAUCUCCAACUUCCACCAUUGAGCGGAAUACUGGUGCAUGAGGUGGGCCAGUUCUGGCUGUAUCAUAAACUGGAAAAAGUAAAGCCUCUUUUUGAGCCAGUUCUUGCAGAAGUGUCUUGUACAAACCUUCAUCCUCCUGAGUGUCAUUAAGUGCUAAUGACUCAAAAGCAACCUUUGCAGCUGCAUGUUCAGCUUCCUUCAAUGUAGAGAAGAACUCCUGAGUUUCG